UUUGGACCCACACUUGUGUUGGGGAAUGGGUAGAGGCCAUUUGGAUAUGUUUUAUUCUUAUCUUGGAAUGAUUAGGGGGCCUAAUGGAAAUAAUCAAAACAAUAUGGGUCAAAUAGGAUACAAUUAUUUAAGUUAGGGACCUGCAACACGAUUAGGGCUUUAAAAAGUCCCAAAUCAGCCAAGAGCUUCCCCGUUUCCGCUUCUCUCCCUCUGAGACCGCCUCGGACACCCCACCCCACCCCACCCCACCCCACCCCCCCUCCCCCCCCCCUCGCAUCUAAAGAUCUUUCUCUGUUUCUCGUCUCUCGCUCUCUGAUCUGUCCCUCUGUCUCUCACCACUACCACCAUAUUUCCCCUUCCCCUUCUCUCCCCUUCCCCCGAUUUUCCCAAACUUAGGUCAUAUGGACGAAAUCGGCCACCGAGGCAUCCGCCACACUUGCACUCAUGCCUCGGGCCAAGACACAUUAGGAUUCGCGUGACCGCGGCGACAUGGGCUUCGCACUUAGAACCGUGGCGACGUAGGUUUUGUAUUUCGGUAGGUGGGAAUUUUAACUUGAUUUUAUAAUUUUUUAAAAAAGCAUUAAUUACUUGAAUUUAUGUAAUUGGUUAAUUGAAUCUUGGUUGAGGACACUAAAUUACAUAACGAUGGAAUGAUGAGAGUUUAUGUGAUUGAUUGAUUAAAAUUUAGUUGAGUGGUUUAAAUUGUGUAAAAUGUAGUUGAGUGGGCUAAACUGUAUAAUGUUGAAUAUAUUGAUGGCUACCCGAAUGGGGUAAAUUUCUUAGCUGUAUAACAAGAUUUCAUUUUUAAAUGUUGGUUGAGUGGGCCUUAGUUGAAUUUACUUGAUUAAUUGUUUGAAUGUUGGCCGAGUGGGCCUUAGUUUCAAGUUUACUUAAUUAUUUGUUUAAAUAUUGUCUGAGUUGGCCUUAGUUUCGAAUUUACUUUAUUCGUUGUUUGAGUGUUGGCUGAGUGGGCCUUAAUUUUAAAUUUAUUUGAUU
This 996-nucleotide long non-coding RNA is filed under the name Actinidia chinensis (golden kiwifruit). RNAcentral's name for it is "long non-coding RNA (ACHI_LNC006963)". The record is from RNAcentral. Lineage: Eukaryota; Viridiplantae; Streptophyta; Magnoliopsida; Ericales; Actinidiaceae.